This 254-nucleotide ribosomal RNA is filed under the name uncultured bacterium. RNAcentral describes it as "partial 16S ribosomal RNA". It matches the Rfam family "Bacterial small subunit ribosomal RNA", at positions 524 to 776 of the family's 1533-position model. The record is from RNAcentral.
UACGUAGGGGCCUAGCGUUGUCCGGAAUUAUUGGGCGUAAAGAGCUCGUAGGCGGUUCGGCAAGUCGGAUGUGAAAUCUCCACGCUUAACGUGGAGGGGCCAUUCGAAACUGCUGUGACUCGAGUCCGGUAGGGGAGUGUGGAAUUCCCGGUGUAGCGGUGAAAUGCGCAGAUAUCGGGAGGAACACCGAUGGCGAAGGCAGGUCUCUGGGCAUUAACUGACGCUGAGGAGCGAAAGCAUGGGGAGCGAACAGG